CAGUUCAGAUUGCAGUCUGCAACUCGCUGCAUGAAGUCGGAAUCGCUAGUAAUCGCGAAUCAGAAUGUCGCGGUGAAUACGUUCCCGGGUCUUGUACACACCGCCCGUCACACCAUGGGAGUCAGUAACGCCCGAAGUCAGUGACCCAACCGAACAGGAGGGAGCUGCCGAAGGUGGGACCGAUAACUGGGGUGAAGUCGUAACAAGGUAAC
This 212-nucleotide ribosomal RNA is filed under the name uncultured bacterium. RNAcentral's name for it is "partial 16S ribosomal RNA". It matches the Rfam family "Bacterial small subunit ribosomal RNA", at positions 1289 to 1500 of the family's 1533-position model. The record is from RNAcentral.